AAGCUUCCUGAGUAAGAGAUGGAGCUUGCUGAGGACUCACUAGGUGCUAGGCGCUGGCCCGAGCACUUUAUGUGGGGAUAACUCACUUAUCUCCAGGGAAACCUUACGAGAUUGUCCAGGUCAUGGAAAACUACAGCUAGAAAUGCAAGAAGAAAUCUUUCCAGUGUUUAACUCCAAAUCCUGCGAGGCUCGCUGAGAGGCUAGAGCCAUCCUUGCUUGUCGUUAGAGCUCAUCUGAGGGGCGGCUCCCCCCACCCCGUUACCCUUCCUGUUACCACCCGUUAGCCUUCUCCGUGAAGCCUGGAUGUUUUCACCGUGAAGUGUAGGUCUAGCUGUGACACUCUCACUGCCCACAAAUACACAGGAUUCCAGCGAGCAAACAGCCUUGCCCAGAGUGUACCCGGCAUCAGCCACAGGGACUUCCACAAGCUCUGUCUCCCUGAGCGUCAGGAAGAGAGGUGAGCUGCCUGGGAGUGCUCACGACCUUUCCGACAGUAAACCAACCAGGAACGACUCCUGCAUCGCCAUUGCUGCUGAGGGACGGAAAUGCAAGAAAGAAACACAGGCUGCAAAUGACUGAUUCCCCAGUUUGGGACGUGAACCUGAUGAAGUCCGAUUGACUGCGUGGUUCCAGAUGAACUACUAGUGAA
Lemur catta (Ring-tailed lemur) is the source of this 649-nucleotide long non-coding RNA. RefSeq lists it as uncharacterized. The record is from RefSeq and is a predicted model, not a curated record. The transcript has 4 exons. Lineage: Eukaryota; Metazoa; Chordata; Mammalia; Primates; Lemuridae.